Molecule: ribosomal RNA, 801 nt
Filed under: uncultured bacterium
Lineage: Bacteria
Description: bacterial SSU rRNA
Rfam family: Bacterial small subunit ribosomal RNA
Source: RNAcentral
GGCCCUUUGUAUUCGUACGAAGGUAUCCUAGUGGCGAACGGGUGAGUAACGCGUUGGUGACCUGCCCCGAAGUCUGGGAUAACAGUUCGAAAGGACUGCUAAUACCGGAUGUGGUCAUCGGAUUUAGAAACCGAUGUCUAAAGGAUUUAUUCGCUUCGGGAGGGGCCUGCGUCCCAUCAGCUAGUUGGUAGGGUAACGGCCUACCAAGGCGACGACGGGUAGGGGACCUCAGAGGGUGGCCCCCCACAAUGGAACUGAAACACGGUCCAUACACCUACGGGUGGCAGCAGUAGGGAAUAUUGCACAAUGGGCGAAAGCCUGAUGCAGCAACGCCGCGUGCGCGAAGAAGGUCUUCGGAUCGUAAAGCGCUUUUCUGGGAGAUGAGAAAGGACAGUAUCCCAGGAAUAAGUCUCGGCUAACUACGUGCCAGCAGCCGCGGUAAAACGUAGGAGGCGAGCGUUAUCCGGAUUCACUGGGCGUAAAGCGCGUGCAGGCGGUUUGGUAAGUUGGGCGUGAAAGCUCCCGGCUCAACUGGGAGAGGUCGUCCAAAACUACCAGACUAGAGAGCGAUAGAGGAAAAUGGAAUUCCCGGUGUAGUGGUGAAAUGCGUAGAUAUCGGGAGGAACACCAGUGGCGAAGGCGAUUUUCUGGAUCGUUUCUGACGCUCAGACGCGAAAGCUAGGGUAGCAAACGGGAUUAGAGACCCCGGUAGUCCUAGCUGUAAACGAUGUGAACUUGGCGUUGGUGGGUUAAACUCCAUCAGUGCCGUAGCUAACGCGAUAAGUUCACCGCCUGGGGACU